RNAcentral lists this ribosomal RNA (158 nucleotides) under Fusarium sacchari. Its description in RNAcentral is "5.8S ribosomal RNA". It matches the Rfam family "5.8S ribosomal RNA". From Rfam's summary of the family: 5.8S ribosomal RNA (5.8S rRNA) is a component of the large subunit of the eukaryotic ribosome. The record is from RNAcentral. Lineage: Eukaryota; Fungi; Ascomycota; Sordariomycetes; Hypocreales; Nectriaceae.
AAGAUGUCAGCAACGGAUCUCGAGCUUCCGGCAUCGAUGAAGAACGCAGCAAAAUGCGAUAAGUAAUGUGAAUUGCAGAAUUCAGUGAAUCAUCGAAUCUACGAACCCUCAUUCCGUCCGCCAGUAUUUUGGCGGGCAUGCCUGUCCGAGGGUCAUUU